GACGAACGCUGGCGGCGGGCUUAACACAUGCAAGUCGAACGGAAAGGCCAUGCUUUUGUGGGGUGCUCGAGUGGCGAACGGGUGAGUAACACGAGAGUAACCUGCCCUUGACUUUGGGAUAACUUCAGGAAACUGGGGCUAAUACCGGAUAGGAGCUCCUGAUGCAUGGUGGGGGUUGGAAAGUUUCGGCGAUUGGGGAUGGACUCGCGGCUUAGCAGGUUGUUGGUGGGGUAGUGGCUUACCAAGGCUUUGACGGGUAGUCGGCCUGAGAGGGUGACCAGCCUCAUAGGGACUGAGAUACAGCCCAGACUCCUACAGGAGGCAGCAGUGGGGAAUAUUGCACAAUGGGCGGAAGCCUGAUGCAGCAACGCCGCGUGCGGGAUGACGGCCUUCGGGUUGUAAACCGCUUUCGCCUGUGACGAAGCGUGAGUGACGGUAAUGAGUAAAGAAGCACCGGCUAACUACGUG
This 468-nucleotide ribosomal RNA is filed under the name uncultured bacterium. RNAcentral describes it as "partial 16S ribosomal RNA". It matches the Rfam family "Bacterial small subunit ribosomal RNA", at positions 28 to 507 of the family's 1533-position model. The record is from RNAcentral.